AUUGAACGCUGGCGGCAGGCCUAACACAUGCAAGUCGAGCGGAUGAAGGGAGCUUGCUCCUGGAUUCAGCGGCGGACGGGUGAGUAAUGCCUAGGAAUCUGCCUGGUAGUGGGGGAUAACGUCCGGAAACGGGCGCUAAUACCGCAUACGUCCUGAGGGAGAAAGUGGGGGAUCUUCGGACCUCAUGCUAUCAGAUGAGCCUAGGUCGGAUUAGCUAGUUGGUGGGGUAAAGGCCUACCAAGGCGACGAUCCGUAACUGGUCUGAGAGGAUGAUCAGUCACACUGGAACUGAGCCACGGUCCAGACUCCUACGGGAGGCAGCAGUGGGGAAUAUUGGACGAUGGGCGAAAUCCUUUUCCAGCCAUGCCGCGUGUGUGAAGAAGGUCUUCGGAUUGUAAAGCGCUUUAAGUUGGGAGGAAGGUCAGUAAGUUAAUACCUUGCUGUUUUGACGUUACCGACAGAAUAAGCACCGUCUAACUUCGUG
This 484-nucleotide ribosomal RNA is filed under the name uncultured bacterium. RNAcentral describes it as "partial 16S ribosomal RNA". It matches the Rfam family "Bacterial small subunit ribosomal RNA", at positions 30 to 507 of the family's 1533-position model. The record is from RNAcentral.